AAGUCGUAACAAGGUUUCCGUAGGUGAACCUGCGGAAGGAUCAUUAGUGAAAUUGAGAGCUUCUACGCUCUCUUCUCUAUUACAUUCUUCAUUGUGCACAGGCAGGCAGUUGAGAGGAAACUCUCUUCUGUUUGCUGUUACCAUAUUCUUUAUCAUCAACUUGUCGCGUAUGUUUUUUUGGGUUGAAUCUCAUGUCACAUGAGAGAAAACUAAGUACAA
This 219-nucleotide unclassified non-coding RNA is filed under the name plant metagenome. RNAcentral's name for it is "partial contains small subunit ribosomal RNA and internal transcribed spacer 1". The stretch from base 1 to 46 matches the Rfam family "Eukaryotic small subunit ribosomal RNA", at positions 1786 to 1831 of the family's 1831-position model. The record is from RNAcentral.